RNAcentral lists this ribosomal RNA (616 nucleotides) under uncultured bacterium. RNAcentral describes it as "bacterial SSU rRNA". It matches the Rfam family "Bacterial small subunit ribosomal RNA", at positions 64 to 726 of the family's 1533-position model. The record is from RNAcentral.
GAGCGCACCCUUCGGGGCGAGCGGCGGACGGGUUAGUAACGCGUGGGAACAUACCCUUUUCUACGGAAUAGCCUCGGGAAACUGAGAGUAAUACCGUAUACGCCCUUCGGGGGAAAGAUUUAUCGGAGAAGGAUUGGCCCGCGUUAGAUUAGAUAGUUGGUGGGGUAAUGGCCUACCAAGUCUACGAUCUAUAGCUGGUUUUAGAGGAUGAUCAGCAACACUGGGACUGAGACACGGCCCAGACUCCUACGGGAGGCAGCAGUGGGGAAUCUUAGACAAUGGGCGCAAGCCUGAUCUAGCCAUGCCGCGUGUGUGAUGAAGGCCUUAGGGUCGUAAAGCACUUUCGCCAGGGAUGAUAAUGACAGUACCUGGUAAAGAAACCCCGGCUAACUCCGUGCCAGCAGCCGCGGUAAUACGGAGGGGGUUAGCGUUGUUCGGAAUUACUGGGCGUAAAGCGUACGUAGGCGGAUCAGAAAGUAGGGGGUGAAAUCCCAGGGCUCAACCCUGGAACUGCCUCCUAAACUCCUGGUCUUGAGUUCGAGAGAGGUGAGUGGAAUUCCAAGUGUAGAGGUGAAAUUCGUAGAUAUUUGGAGGAACACCAGUGGCGAAGGCGGCU